GAGAAGAGAGGAGAUUCCUGGAGAGCGGAACAAGCUUCUGCUGCUUCGCGGAGCCGUUGAAAAACUGGAACUCCCAAAGGGUGGACGGAUGGAGCGGAUGACGAGAGGAGUAGCCUUCCCCUGGGACGCCGAUGCAGAGAGGCAAGCAAAGACCAGCGCUGCACGCGAGGAGCUGGAGCGGCCAAGCACAGGCACAAAGCACGGUGAAAGAACCUGCAUAUCUGGGGCGAGGGAAGGGGAUAAACACCGGGAGACCGUACCGCUACACCGGCCGGGUACCAGAGCGCGAACUCUAGCAACCAAGAAGAGAUUCUUGAGUCGGAUUGAUACCAUUGCAUCCUGCUUUUUCUGCCCAUCAUGCCGAUAGGACAACACCCAAACUGGCACAUGAGAGCGCAGUAUGCCGUUGGACUUCAGAGACGGAUGCCCCGUCCGCGUGCUGCAGAGGCUACCGGCCUCACCUCCGGGAUAUAGCUAUGGACUGCAACAGGUGUGUAGAAGGCCAGAGGGUGAGGAGGAGGAUCUUGGGGAGCACCAGAGCUGAGCAGAUGGCAGGUUGGGGCUGAAGACCAGGC
This is a long non-coding RNA of Osmerus eperlanus (European smelt), 575 nucleotides long. RefSeq lists it as uncharacterized. NCBI's taxonomy places the organism in Eukaryota, Metazoa, Chordata, Actinopteri, Osmeriformes, Osmeridae. The record is from RefSeq and is a predicted model, not a curated record. The transcript has 4 exons.